UUUGUUACUUAAACAGCAAAUACACAAUGUUGUGAUUGCAGCUUGAGAAACUCCAUGCCAUUGGAUACAAGGCUGUUCUGCUUCUUUGCAAGGAGACAAAAAGAAUGAAGUCAAGUGUGAAAUAUUAACCCCUCUCUGCACACUCUCCACCUAUGCCCAGGACUACCUUUAGAAGAUGGGUUCACUUUAUGAAUACCUUUGUGAAGUCCCCAAAAGAGAGCAAGCUUUUGGGAAUGUUGGGAAGAGCACAACACAUGCAUGUCAAGUCCCAGCUCACCACAUUUGCAAUUUGGCAUCCAGGAACCCACAGAAUUUGACUAGGAUGGAAACAGGAUUCCAGUGGCAAUGAUGACCAGCUGAUGAUGCUACGUCUCACACCCUGUAAUCCAUUGGAGAACACAAGCAACCCAGAGUAGGUGAGGGCCACACAGGUGGAAGAGACAAGAACAUGCUGGUGGAGCCCAUGAGUAAUACAGAAGGGCAGGUGGAGCGGAUGAGCACUGCAGAGGAGCAGGUGGAGCAGAUCAGC
This is a long non-coding RNA of Silurus meridionalis, 529 nucleotides long. RefSeq lists it as uncharacterized. Lineage: Eukaryota; Metazoa; Chordata; Actinopteri; Siluriformes; Siluridae. The transcript has 3 exons. The record is from RefSeq and is a predicted model, not a curated record.